This is a long non-coding RNA of Hibiscus syriacus, 1280 nucleotides long. RefSeq lists it as uncharacterized. The transcript is spliced from 8 exons. NCBI's taxonomy places the organism in Eukaryota, Viridiplantae, Streptophyta, Magnoliopsida, Malvales, Malvaceae. The record is from RefSeq and is a predicted model, not a curated record.
UUUUUUUUUACUGAUAUUUCUUGAUUUGAAUUUAAUUGCUACAUCGGGGAAUGGUCGAAAGGGUAAUUUAGUUCAAAACACGACUAUUUUGCCACAGUCAGGCCAACGGAAGCGUAUCAAUCCUUCGGAUUCUCCUACAAGUUUGUCUCGAUUAGAAUCCGCAAAAUGGAAUGAUUUGGUCUCAACGAGUUCUUUUUCAGAAGCUGAACUUUUGGAGUCACUCGAAGGGGAUAAUUUGGUGGGAGAUGCUUCUGCUGCUGGUGACAUAUACAGAACUGUUAAAUCUGAAGUGAGACGGGCUAUUUCUGACAUCCAAAAUGAGCUUCAGGUUGCUAUCAGGAGGAGUAAUCCAACUACUGACGUGGUCGAGUUAGUGUCAGACAUACAGCAUGAAUAUGCCGCAAACUCGAGCAGUCCCAAGAACGUGCUAGACAACUUCGAGCUGACCUAGCUGUAGAGGAACACCGGGGCAUGGAGCUUAGCAGGAUCUUGAAGGAAGUGCUUCCAGAUUCCAAGGCUCCUAGCACAAAGAAAUCUCGUCCACGAAGAAAAUCUGUAUUGAGAGAAGGAAGAUAUCAAAAUGUCUGACUGACGAUGCCCUUGCCUAUUUCGAUGAGUGUGUCUCGCUAUCAACAUUUGACGGUUCCGAUUUCUCAUCAGUAGAAGAUCCACUCAAAUGCGUGGGCACCGUCGAGUUGAUGGAGUAUCUUUUUCCGCAUGCGAACUCAACCAUUCCAGCCACCAGUCUCCCUAGUAUUCAUCUCCAUGAUACACAGGUGCAUCAACUGAUCGGCAAAUCAAGUUAUUUUGAGGAAUGUCGGUUCACAUUUGGCCAUGAUCCUUUGGAUUUAACAGCCAGUAACAGCAGCAUGAACAGACGAACAGACUCAAGACCUCUUCCAUCCAAACACUACUAAUAGCGAAUGGAGUCGAAAAAUCCGGUUUUCCUUUUCUCCUGAACCAGGUCCGAUAUGCGAGCUCCAACAAGACAUUAAAAAGUAUGUCAAAGGUUUCGAGAAAGACACCAGGAAGAUUGACAUUGAUUCGAAGAUCAUAAGAAGAAAUAGAUAUGAUCUGGACGAUUAUAAUUUGCAGACCUCGCAACAAAGCUUGUUGUUUGAUCACGUGUUCCUAAAAAACAGGUUAGAUUCUGGAAGUUUGCUUCUCUGCAACGGCGGAUGUUUUUCAGCUUCAGUUUUGCCUUUUGCUUCUUUAAUCUAAAUUUUAUUUUGUUCUGAACAUAAAUAAAUUUGAUAUUAUACUUCUAGUAUUUGUUUUUG